Long non-coding RNA from Phyllopteryx taeniolatus (common seadragon), 462 nucleotides. RefSeq lists it as uncharacterized. The transcript is spliced from 4 exons. The record is from RefSeq and is a predicted model, not a curated record. NCBI's taxonomy places the organism in Eukaryota, Metazoa, Chordata, Actinopteri, Syngnathiformes, Syngnathidae.
ACCAAGUUUUCAAAAUGACACAUUUUCGUGAAAGCUGCUGAAAACGAUCAAGAAAAGAACGGCGAAUUCAUUUCUGCCCGGGUUGGGGAGUUGCUGCCAAUCCAAAUCUGAGCAGCCGAAGGUCUCACGUGGAAGAAUGUUGCAUGUUAUCGUCAAAGAUCACGUGACACCAGCGGGAGGGCUGCAAGAUGGCGGCAUGCGAUGUGACGUUGAAGAUGCCGGCGCUGGUGAUGUAACACGUUAUGUAAGCAGGCCGCCAGCCCCCAAAAAGGAAGACGUCCCCAGACGAUUUGCCCGCAUCAAACAUUGGCUUUACAAAAGAAAAGCAUGACGCUUGACAGGGUAUGCAUGUCCAAAUAUUUUGGAAGGUAGAUGACACUUUUACAAAAUCAAAUUAUUUUAACAGUAUAUUUCACAUCCUGUAUGUGUGCCAUUUUUUUCUCUCUAUCCACAGGUAGGUCG